RNAcentral lists this ribosomal RNA (301 nucleotides) under uncultured bacterium. Its description in RNAcentral is "partial 16S ribosomal RNA". It matches the Rfam family "Bacterial small subunit ribosomal RNA", at positions 509 to 807 of the family's 1533-position model. The record is from RNAcentral.
CAGUCGCCGCGGGAAAACGAAGGGGGCUAGCGUUGUUCGGAAUUACUGGGCGUAAAGGGCGCGUAGGCGGCCAUUCAAGUUAGAUGUGAAAGCCCUGGGCUCAACCUAGGAAUUGCAUUUGAUACUGUUUGGCUUGAGUUCGGGAGAGGUGAGUGGAAUUCCCAGUGUAGAGGUGAAAUUCGUAGAUAUUGGGAAGAACACCAGUGGCGAAGGCGGCUCACUGGACCGACACUGACGCUGAGGCGCGAAAGCGUGGGGAGCAAACAGGAUUAGAUACCCCUGUAGUCCCUGUCUCUUAUAC